GGCUUCGGCGUCGAGGAAGGGGCCCGGCAGUGCCGGGGGGGAUUGAGAGUGGCGGAGGCCGCGGAACGACGGAAGACGGCGGCCGUAGUGAAGAACGUCGAGCGCACGCACGGCGAGUGGCAGCUUAACUAGCCACAUCGCCGUCCGGGCCGCGUGUGCGAGGGCGGAGGGCGGGGCUCGAGACCUGCGGCAGCGGGAGAUGCGGGCGGCUGCAGGCACGCGGCUGGCUCGGCUCGGCCGCCGCCGCCUUCUCGGGCCCCGGCGCGGGGGUUGCCGCUGUUUGCCGCGCCGUCUUUGAAUUCCUAGCGUGAGGAGCAGUCGGUGACAGAGUCUAGCACCGCGUUUAAGGUCGAGAAGGAUUCCUGUGUCCUGCCUGCCCAUUGCUAUGGACAGUGCCAUUACUCUGUGGCAGUUCCUUCUUCAGCUCCUGCAGGAGCCUCAGAAUGAGCACGUGAUCUGCUGGACCUCUAACAAUGGGGAGUUCAAGCUUCUGCAGGCGGAGGAGGUGGCUCGCCUGUGGGGGAUCCGAAAGAACAAGCCUAACAUGAAUUAUGACAAACUCAGCCGAGCCCUGAGAUACUACUACGUAAAGAACAUCAUUAAAAAAGUGAAUGGUCAGAAGUUUGUAUACAAGUUUGUCUCCUAUCCAGAGAUUUUGAAAAUGGAUCCACUGACGGUAGGCAGGAUUGAGGGAGACUGUGAAACUUUAAAUUCCAUUGAAGCCAGCAGUUCCAAAGAUGCUGAGUGUGGAGGAAAGGAGAGGCCACCUCAGCCUGGAGCCAAGACAUCCAGUCGCAAUGACUACAUACACUCUGGUUUGUAUUCUUCCUUUACUCUCAACUCUCUGAACACCUCCAAUAAGAAGCUUUUCAAGUCAAUAAAGAUAGAGAAUCCAGCAGAAAAACUAGCAGAGAAGAAAGCUCAGGAGCCAACCCCGUCCGUGAUCAAAUUCGUGACAACACCUGCCAAAAAGCCGCCCAUGGAGCCUGUCACUGUUGCCUUUUCAACAAGCCCUAGUGUUUCUCCAUCUUCUGAAGAAACUAUCCAAGCUUUGGAGACUCUGGUCUCUCCCACACUACCUUCCCUGGAAGCCUCAGCCUCUGUAUCCAUCCUGGCUACCACCUUUAACCCCACUCCUCCAGUUCCUUCCAUACCCCUUCCUCUACAGGAGCCUCCCAGGACACCGUCUCCACCGCUGAGUUCUAACCCAGACAUUGACACAGACAUUGAAUCAGUGGCUCCUCAGCCCAUGGAACGUCCAGAGAACUUGUCACUGGAGCCUAAAAAUGAGGAUUCAGCUUUGCCAGAAAAGGACAAAACAAAUAACUCAUCAAGAUCCAAGAAGCCAAAAGGGUUAGAACUGACGCCCGCCCUUGUGGUCACAGGCAGUGACCCCAGCCCCUUGGGGAUCUUAAGCCCGUCUCUCCCAACAGCGUCGCUUACACCAGCACUCUUCUCACAGACACCCAUCCUGCUGACGCCGAGCCCCUUGCUCUCCAGCAUCCACUUUUGGAGCACUCUCAGCCCGUUUGCUCCUCUGAGCCCAGCCAGACUGCAAGGUGCUAAUACGCUCUUCCAGUUCCCUUCUGUACUGAACAGUCAUGGACCAUUCACUCUGUCUGGCCUGGAUGGACCUUCCACUCCGGGCCCGUUUUCUCCAGACCUGCAGAAGACAUAACGAGUGCAGUUGUGGACUAAGAGACUAAGGAACUAGGACAUAGACAUCAGCAUGACUCAGUUCGAAAUGAGGGGUAGUUCUGCAGUGCUCAUAAUAGACCGUUGUGAUUUUUCCCACUGCCUGUUGACAAGCCUUUUCAGGACUCUCAAAAGUUGGACUGUACAAAAAAUGCCUUAAUUGGAGUCCAAGCUCCACCUCACUUCUUUUUUUUUAAAGGUGUUUUUUUUGUUGUUGUUGCCUUUUUUUCCUUUUUUCCUUUUUUUUUUUUUUAAAGCUUUGUGCAAAAAACAUUGGAUAGUUGAGGUUCAGCAGCUGUGUUUCUCAAGAGUCACCGAACAAAGUCACCAGCCCUGGAUGUGAGGACCCACAUCCAGGGGAGAAAGUGUGCUUAGAGCCUGUUACUUAAAGGAAUUCUUGUCCACUAUGUGUGAUGACCCACUUCUGCAGUCUCAGCACUUGGGAAGCUGAGGUGGGAGAAUACCAAGGGUGGAGGGCCAGCCUGCGCUAUAUAUAUUGUGAGGUUGUCUCAAAAAGACAAAAAUACGACUUAAAUGAAACCAGCAGCAUAUUUUGUAGUGAGUGCGCUCUGUUGAAUGUCUAAGGGGAGCGGCUCAUGAGCAGUGGGAGAAACCUUAGGAGGUCAGCCAUGCUGAGGAUCUGUUUUGCCGUGAGCGCUGACAUUACAGUUCUACAGAAGGGUGUCUUGUUUGCACUUACCUGGGCAAAUCUCUGCUAUCCGUACCUGUGAUCCUGUCUGAACCUGUCCCUAGGCCCCGAGCUGUUUUAACACAAGACUUGGAAAGCUCAGUUUUAAUGUGGGUUUUGGAACAUUGGUUGAGACUAGGAGAUCCCACUGUGAGCACAGAUCUCUGGUGUGUGCUUUGAGCAGUGUGGUUCUGUAGCCAUGCAACACAGCAUGCAAGUGGUGAUUUUUCCUGAGAGGAGAGUUGUGGUUUGAAAAUUGAAUGUCACAAGCAACCAAAAAGGUUCAGUGAAACACCCUGAGACAGGAGGUGGGGUGUUUCCAGCUAGAAGACACCCAGAGUGCCAGGCCCCUUUUCUUCUUGCCAGUUUCAUCCCCUUACCAUGCUGCUUUUAAAUCUAAGGUCAGAAGAUGAUGAUGCGUUCAGGUGUUGUAAUCAGGAAGAUGAACUCCAAAGGGAAACUUCGGUUAGCUGGAGGUAGAGACGGGCUUACUGCUUUCCAAAAGCGUCUUAACUUGUGGAAGAUCAGAUUGCACCUGACCAUUCUUAUGCAUAGGAAUUUGAUUAUUAAAUUAGUAAUGAGAAGUAGAGGCCUUCAUUUGCAUAUUAUGAAAUACUGUGUGGUAAGACAGAUACAUUGAUCUGGAAUUGAUACUAAUUUCACAGUGGAAUUUUGAAAAUUUGACUCUUAAAGUCCAGAACCAAAUUAAAUGACAUGUUCCUCCUCUGCCCAUUAAACCCUAGAUGUGACCUGAGUGGCAUGAAGGCAUGAGGGACUUGUGGGCUCAGAAUGACACUGAUACCCAGUGGCGUCUUUUCAGCUGCAUAGCAUUGCUGUCCAGUGCAGAGACAUGGAAGUCCGGCAGUGUGUGCUGGCUGUGGAGGGGCGGGCCACAGUGCCUUUUAGGGGUGGCUGCAGACCUCUGUUACUGGUCCAUUUGUGAUUAUCUUAAAGUUCUGUUCCCAGGAUGUGCAAUAGUAGCAUUGAAAAGCAGUGUUCAGAGUGAUGGGAGCAGGUACUGUAAGGAAUGAGCUUUCUUCCCAUGGUGCAUCGUUAGGUUUGCAUGCAUAUUUGGAAUUAACCCUCAGCAGCACUUUGAGGUAAUUUAGUGGGAUAAUAUUGUGUAAACUAAGUAAGUAUUGAUAGAUGACUUAGCUAGAUGUUUGAAAUCUGAAACCAUAAAAAUAUUUUUAUCUUACUGAGUUAAAGGAGAAAAGCCAUUGGUUUGUUUUCACAGAUGAAAUAUUUGGUAAUUUCCUGUCUUAGCACAGAGCUGCCUUGGGUCCAAGGGCACCAUUUAAACUCAGGCUGGGUGUGGUGAUCCCAGCACAUGGGGAAUGGAAGCUGGAGGAUCAACAGUCAGGGCUAGCCUCAGCUACAUAGUAAGUUUGAGACUAGCUUAGGCUACACAGGACCCUGUAUCAAAAAAACAAGGAAAAACCUCAACAACUUUGUAAGAAACCAUGCGGCCUUGUGGGGUUGGAGAGACCUGUCUUCUUGAUGUGAAUGAAUUUGCAGAAACACGUGCUUGGUUAGUGCAUGGGCACGUGCCCUUUUUUUUAAAGUUGGUAUAUAAUCUUGCUGUGUGUAUGAGGCAGACAUUUCUUUCUAUAGACUACCUCCUUCCUGACAAAGUCUGAGCUUUGUGUUGGUUCGAAUAGCCAUAGAAUUCUUAGCAUCAACAGAUGUAUUCAGGGAUGAGCGCACCCUCAGCUCACCUCUGGCGUCCACCACCCGUCACCUUGCUAGGGCAGAUGGGGCUGGGCCUCAGUAGCCUGAAGCAGGGGAAAUGAGCAGACUGUUAGAGACACCUUCUGCUCUGGACCGUCUAUGCUUAGCCCUGUGACUGAAGGGGUGAGAGUGGGGGUGUUAGGGUGGUCCUGUGAAGGCCUGUGUUGGAGGGUCUGCCAGUCCCCUUGGGCGUCCAUUGGUCCCUUGUGGGUUUGAAUCCACGUUAGAACUGAGAAGGAUGUGUGCGUAGGCUCAGAGCAGUGCCACACCCUGGGUGGGUUUUCACUUAAACUGUACUUUUACUCAUGCUGAUGUUUUUAAAAUAUAAAAUUAAAAUGUCAAGUUUAACUUAAAGUAAGUUUUUAGUGACUUCUGAUAGUAUUAUUGUGUUGUUACAACCCUAUGGCAUAGUCUGUAUGUUUGAAUAAGGGUAGAAGUUUCUACUGAUUAAAAAAGCAUAUAAUAGAAUCUUGAAGCCUUCAAAAGGCCAGCACUUCAUUGAGUUAAAAUAGUUUCUUUUUCUUCACUUUUUAACAGUUAAAAUAUAAGUAUAAUUUUUCCACUAUGUUUUUUUGUUUGUUUUUGUUUUUGAGAUAGGAUUUUUCUGUCUCCAACCGGGCUAUGAACUGAAUCCCAAAUGCUGACAUUUGCAAGUGUGGGCCACCAGGUCUGGCUGUUUCUUCAAAUUUGUAGAGAAAGGGACCGAGUCCCUUCUGAGACAGUUCAUUGUUUGCUUGAGGACAGUAUUUCCGCCACUGCCACUGCUGGCAUACGACAGAAGAGCAUGGUUCAGUCCUCUCUGCUGAGCUAAAAUGGAUCAGCUAAAAUGUACACGUAUGCAGAAGCGCACACGGAUGCUUGGGCCCCGGAGGCCUGCUUACAGGUGCGGCUGAGGCUGUUCCCUCUGCCCCUGGCAGUUCCGUGGAUCUUCAUGGAUCGGAAAGACUAAACUUAAACUCUGGGACUGCUGGCAUAUGCCUGUAAUCCUGUAAACCCAGGAAGGUUCAGGUGCUGUAUAGUGAGUUUGAGGCCAGCCUGAGCUACACGAGAGCCUUUCUGAAAUACAUUUAAGAGGUUCACUGGUUCGGAGCACCUGGUGAUCUUCCAGAGGAACAGAAUUGGCGCAACACUGCCUGUAGUUCCAGUGCUAAAGGGUCUAGCGCCCUCUUCUGGCCUCCAUAGGCAUCUGCACACAUUAAACAAACCACCUUUUAAAACAUUUUUUUAAAAGCUUUAGUUCAUUUUGCAACUAAUAUUCUAAACAUAAAAUCUUUGGUUAAAGUGAGUUUCUUAGGAUUAUUCCCUUUAUUCACCAAAAUAAUCAAAUUGGACUUUCCCCCCCUUCUUUAAGUAGGUUUUGUUUUUAUGAACUGCUGGUUACAACUGUGUCUCCAUGUAUCAGCCUCCUACAUGGCUGGGCCGACAGGCACAUGCCACCACAUCGGCUUACAUUUGCAUUUAAGAGCAAUCUAAUGAUUUCCAUGAGUCCUAUCAGAACUUCUGUUUUAAAAACCUCCUAAGCUGGAGCUUUAUUUAGGUUGGUCGGUAGGGUAGCCCAAGGUUUGAGUCUCAUUACUCCAUAAACCAGGAGUGUGGCUCAAACCUGUAAUCCUCAAACUAGGAAUAUAGAAGUGAGAUGAUCAAGAAGUUCAGGGUUUCAUCCUUGGCAAGUUCAGGGCCAGCCCAAGGUUAAUGAUCCAGUCUUGGGGGAAAAAAAUGAAAAUAAAAUUGUGAGGAGUGGGAAGUAACCAUGGGUUAUUUUAGUGUGUGCUAGGAGGUUGAAUCACAGCAAACCUGGCAGUUGACGCACUCUAAGGCGUGAACAUGAUUUAAAAGGUAAAUAACAAAGAACAAACGCUUGUUUCUCAUUCAGUUAAUCUAUAAUUUAGCAAAAGCAUGAGUCUGCCUUGGAGUGACUGCAGUGUAUAUAUACACCGGUGUCUGCACAGGUAGAGGGGAGCGGGUUCCUGUGUAUGAGUUUGGAAUGGCUGGUAAAAAGGACUGACAGGGUACUCACUCAGCCCCUCAGGGGAGUGGCUGUCUGGGUGAGACCUCUUGUUUAUUGUAUCAACCUCCGCAUCUCUGGUUACCCAGUGUCGCCACUUUGUAUAAGGAGAUGUUAGGUGCGAGCAGCACCUGCCCACAAGAGUCGCUUACUGUCAGAGCGUCGCGAAUGGUAUGUCUCAGGUAGGUUUAGUUUACACUAAGGGGACCUGCAAAGUACUCCGAUCUCUGUUCUUUUCUGAAAAAACAAUUACUGUGGCAACUGCUAACCGUCCUUAAAAUUAACAUUAGUUGUUCUUACAGAUGGACAGAAUGGUCAUCUCAGCUAGCUACCCAGUAGCACGUAACUGUGGAGACAAAAGGGUGUUGCUUUAAGGCUGGUGAAGCAAGUGCAGAGUCUUGAAUUCUGCCUUUCGGGUGAGGAAUGUCUUGAAGUUAAAGGGAGAGGGGGCAAAGGACGCAUGCGCACUUUGAGGGCUUUCUAAUGCACUUCUGUUCAAAGAAAAGAUGGCGGUUCAGUUCGAUGGGUGCCAUUUCCAGGCAUUGCAAGGGACUGCCCCAAGUAACCCGCCAGGGGUCCUUACUUCUGUUGCUUCUAAGCUGUAUGCAAAAGCGUUGUUAACUUCUAUAAAGAUCAUGUGUAUUUUAAGAAAAUGCAGUUUUUAAAACUUUUAUGUAAGAACUGACAGAGGGAUUUGCUUGUAUGUGGGAAGCUGGCUUUGAGAAAGCACUCUGGCGGGUUUAUUCCGAGUCUAGAGCUCUCGAGAUCUGUCAGUAGAUACAUGUGCAACUAGAUACGGACAACAAUUGUAUUUUUUUAAAAUAAAUAUUUUUAACAAAA
Molecule: non-coding RNA, 6959 nt
Organism: Rattus norvegicus (Norway rat)
Lineage: Eukaryota; Metazoa; Chordata; Mammalia; Rodentia; Muridae
Source: RefSeq, a predicted model, not a curated record